UACGUAGGUGACCAGCGUUGUCCGGAUUUACUGGGCGUAAAGAGCGUGUAGGCGGCCCGGUAAGUCCGCUGUAAAAGUCAAAGGCUCAACCUUUGAAUGUCAGUGGAUACUGCCGGGCUAGAGUCCGGAAGAGGCGAGUGGAACUCCUGGUGUAGCGGUGGAAUGCGCAGAUAUCAGGAAGAACACCAACGGCGAAGGCAGCUCGCUGGGACGGUACUGACGCUGAGACGCGAAAGCGUGGGGAGCGAACAGG
Molecule: ribosomal RNA, 253 nt
Filed under: uncultured bacterium
Lineage: Bacteria
Description: partial 16S ribosomal RNA
Rfam family: Bacterial small subunit ribosomal RNA
Source: RNAcentral